AAAUAUUACCUGGAAAUCACAAAUUUAUUUUAAUAACAAAGAAAUAAUGAAUUCCAUCUCUUCUCUUUGCUGUCUUCUUUCUCUCCGCUUCUGCUAUCCGAGUGAAUUAUGCAGAAGUAGAGACGUGCAGCGAUUGCCACAAUUGUUAGUAUAUAUAAUUUUCUUUAUUAUCUUUUUUACAUUUUCUACAUCAUAUAACUAAUUGCGUUCUAGAAAAUUUUAAUUUUAUUUUAUAUACAAUUUUAUAAAUUGAAUAUGACUAAUAAACAGCAAUAUCAAAUAUUUAAAUUUUUAUUUUAAAGAUUAUAAUGAAAGGAACUGCUACAUUAUUAUUAUUUCAAGUUUGCAUGUCUGCCCGUUAUUAAUUUAAGUUUUCAAGUAAAUAUUUACUUAAAUUAAGAGAAAUGCUAGGAAUACUUUUUGUUUUUUUAACACUCUUUUGGAUAAUUACUUUUCUAUUUAUUUUUUUAUCCAAUUUUCUCGGCCUAAUAAUUUAUUUAAUAAAUUAAAUUAAUUGUAUAGUUUCAAUAAAUUUAUUUUCUAAUAAAAGAGUGAAUCCCGUUUUAUGCACAUAAUAUAUUAUAAUUUAGAAUUUACUUUUUCAUUUUAAUUUUGAGAUUAUUUUAUUAAGUGGAAGAAAAUACAUCUUUUAAUGAUUUUACUUUUUUAUAACUAUUUGUAUAAAAUUAAAAAUUUAUAUAAAAACUUUAAAAAUAAAAUAAAUUUUAAAUUUAUUUUAUUUUUUUACUAAAAAAUACAAUACUAGUUUAAUUUGUAAAUUAUUAAGUUAACAAAAAUGAAUUAAUAGAAUAAACGAGAGUAUAGCUUUUAAAAAAUUAAAUAUUAUUGCAAGUAGCUAAAAUUACAUGCUUAUGAUUAUCAGAUGUAAAAACAGUUGAAGCAAUAGAAAAAAUAAUUAAUAUGAAAAGAAAUUGAACAGUGAUUGUGCAGAAGAAAUAAAGCUAACUGGCCGAUUGGGCACGCUGCUGCGGGAUCGCUCAAGAAGCUGCCCUUCUGCAAAAUCAACGCAUCUCUCAAUAUUGACUAGGCUCAAUUAUUUUUUAGUAAUUUUAAUUUUUCUUAUGUUUUCAUAUUCUUUUUUUUUUGGAUACUCAAAUGUUUUAUAUUUCAGUAUAAUAUUUAUAUAAUAUUUAAUUUUUCAGUCGACAAAGAAAAAAAUCUUACUUAAAUUAAAAUGUAUAUCUAUCACUAAUUUAAGUCUAAAAGUGCUUAAAUUUUCUAUUUCAAUUUAACUGCAUCAUAUAAUUAAUUAUUUUUUUCAUUUUUAAUUUAAUUUGAAAAAAAGAAAAAGAGUUUAAAAUUUUGACUUAAUUAGAGUAUUUUGCUCGAGACGGUGUUAUAUUAAAUAUUUUUAUAAAUUCAAACGUGACUUAAUAGCUAGUAGAACCAUCAAGNNNNNNNNNNNNNNNNNNNNNNNNNNNNNNNNNNNAAUUAACUAAAACAUGCCUUGUAUCAUCGGAAAGCAAUAUAAAAAAAUGAUUAUCAUAAAAAGAAAGAAAAAAAAUAAAAAAUGAAGGGUGAUUGUGCUGUAGAUUAUUGCCAAUUUGGUUGUUGCGAAUGGCACGCUGCUGCGGGGUCGCUGAAGAAGAUGCCCUCUUUCAAUAUGGUUAAUGUUCUGAUCAUAUCUCAAUUUUGAUUCUUUUAGCUCUUAGUUACAUGUUUUUCUAAUUUCUUUUAGGCAUUUAGAAAUUUUAGAUUUUAAAAUAAUACUCCAUUUAACAUACAAUUUUUCCCUUUUAUCGUUUCUUUCUCCUCCUAUUUAAAUUUUCAUACUUUAUAAAAUAGAAUAUAUUAUGUGUUUUUUUUUUUGCUGUUUUUAUUUUAGAAUUAAUACGAUUUAGUCAUAUAUCUGUCUGUUGUACUUAUUAUUUUAAUUAUAAAUAAUAAUGUAAAAUGAAUUUAUAGAUAAAAUUUAUCAAUGCUUUUUAAUUAUUAAUUAAUAUUUUAAAUUUUAUUAAUGUAAUAAAUAUAAACUAUUAUUUUAAAAUAUUCAAUUUUAAAAAAUUAAGAAAGACAUCUAAAAUAUUGUUAGUUUAAUAUUAUAAAUUAAUAUUAAAUAUUAAAAUUUUAUUAAAUUAUAUAAUAUUAAUUUAAUUUUAUAAUUAAAAUAAUAAUAAUGACAGUGCAAUUCACGUAUAAGCAAUUAGUUUUAACUAAAUUGACAUAAUUUCUUUAAACAAUACCUGAGAGUUAAUACUUAAAAAGUGAUGAGUAUAUAUAGAACAGGCUACACUGGAUAGAUAGAACCUAACUGAGUCCAAAAUCUGAGCACGAUCAGCAUUAUAUGUGUAAACUAAAAAUUAAUUUCUUUUGAAUUUAAAUAAAAAUAUUCUACCAAGAUAUAUAGAUGUCCUAAAUACAUAUUGUCUCGACAAUAACAUGGAGUACUCUUCAUUCCAUAUUUAUUCAAAUUUCUUAAUAUUUUAUUUUAAAUUAAAAAAGUAUUUAGUAAAUUUAAUUAUAAAAAAUAGUUAAAUAUGAGCAAAUUAUACUUUCAUUGAUAUUUUUUAAAAUUUAUUACAUUUUUAUAUAUAAAUUUAUAGAAUUUUGGAAAACUAAUAGUUAAUAAUGUUAAUACAAGAAUAAAAUAAAAAAAUUAAUAUUAUAUUGAAUAUGUAAAAAUAAUAAAUAAUUAAAAAAUUUAUUUAAAAAUAUCAAUUAGCAUAAAAUGUUAGAAGUAAUACUUUAUAGGAAUUUUAGAAUUUGAAUCAAUCACGAGAUCAUUAUUAAUGGUUAACCAAUUAUUAAAAAUUAAUAAAUUUUAUUCAAUAAAUUAUUACACCAUCUUUAGAUUUGUUUUGAAUGAAAUUUCGAAGGACUCAUAAAAAAAUCUGUACGUAUUUCAUGUUCGGUGAUCAUUGUCAUGUUCCUAGGCAAGUCAUUAUGAAGUAUUGCAAUGAUAUUAUGGAUGCUCAAGAAUAUGAGAAAUGUUUAACUAGCAACAUAAGUAAUAUUAAUAAGAUAUAUAGAUGGAUUCCAUCAGAUAAGAACGAGAUUAAACUUAAUACAGAUGGGGCUUGUGUGGAUAAGGGGAGAAGGGUAGUUGCAGCUGUGUGCUCCGCGAUUGUAGAAAGAGCUGGUUGAUGGAUUUUAAAAACUACAUUGGUAGUUGUUGCCCUCCGAGCUAUGGGAGCUAUGUUGGGUCUUAAUAUGACGUAGUGUUAUGGUUAUAACAAAGUUGUUCUGGAGUUGAAUUUCUCAUUGGCUGUAGAUUAUAUUUACAGUAGAAGGAAAGUUCAUAUUUUACAGAAAAUAUAUUCAUCAAAUACAUAUUUUACUUGCAAGAGACUAGAUGCUCUGUUGUUUGCAUAUCGGUCAAAAGGACAAUGACCGUGCUCAUGUCAUGGCUAGAGUUGCAUUAGAUGGUGAUCGAGAUUUUAUUGUCUCUUUCUAUCCUCCA
This 3421-nucleotide long non-coding RNA is filed under the name Ricinus communis (castor bean). Its description in RNAcentral is "long non-coding RNA (RCOM_LNC003030)". The record is from RNAcentral. Lineage: Eukaryota; Viridiplantae; Streptophyta; Magnoliopsida; Malpighiales; Euphorbiaceae.